CCUACGGGAGGCAGCAGUAGGGAAUAUUGCUCAAUGGGGGAAACCCUGAAGCAGCAACGCCGCGUGGAGGAUGAAGGUUUUAGGAUUGUAAACUCCUUUUGUUAGAGAAGAUUAUGACGGUAUCUAACGAAUAAGCACCGGCUAACUCCGUGCCAGCAGCCGCGGUAAUACGGAGGGUGCAAGCGUUACUCGGAAUCACUGGGCGUAAAGAGUGCGUAGGCGGGGUAAUAAGUCAGAUGUGAAAUCCUGUAGCUUAACUACGGAACUGCAUUUGAAACUGGUACUCUGGAGUGUGGGAGAGGUAAGUGGAAUUCUUGGUGUAGGGGUAAAAUGCGUAGAGAUCAAGAAGAAUACUCAUGGCGAAGGCGACCUGCUGGAACAUUACUGACGCUGAUGCGCGAAAGCGUGGGGAGCAAACAGGAUUAGAUACCCCUGUAGUC
RNAcentral lists this ribosomal RNA (440 nucleotides) under uncultured bacterium. RNAcentral's name for it is "partial 16S ribosomal RNA". It matches the Rfam family "Bacterial small subunit ribosomal RNA", at positions 338 to 795 of the family's 1533-position model. The record is from RNAcentral.